This 425-nucleotide ribosomal RNA is filed under the name uncultured bacterium. RNAcentral describes it as "partial 16S ribosomal RNA". It matches the Rfam family "Bacterial small subunit ribosomal RNA", at positions 354 to 796 of the family's 1533-position model. The record is from RNAcentral.
GUGGGGAAUCUUGCGCAAUGGGCGAAAGCCUGACGCAGCCAUGCCGCGUGAAUGAUGAAGGUCUUAGGAUUGUAAAAUUCUUUCACCGGGGACGAUAAUGACGGUACCCGGAGAAGAAGCCCCGGCUAACUUCGUGCCAGCAGCCGCGGUACUACGCAGGGGGCUAGCGUUGCGCGGAAUUACUGGGCGUAAAGGGCGCGUAGGCGGACAGUUUAGACAGAGGGGAAAGCCCAUGGCUCAACCUUGGAAUUGCCUUUGAUACUGGCGGUCUUGAGUACGGGAGAGGGGAGUGGAACUCCGAGUGUAGAGGUGAAAUUCGUAGAUAUUCGGAAGAACACCAGUGGCGAAGGCGACUCACUGGCCCGUUACUGACGCUGAGGCGCGAAAGCGUGGGGAGCAAACAGGAUUAGAAACCCCGGUAGUCC